RNAcentral lists this ribosomal RNA (1346 nucleotides) under uncultured bacterium. RNAcentral describes it as "bacterial SSU rRNA". It matches the Rfam family "Bacterial small subunit ribosomal RNA", at positions 28 to 1381 of the family's 1533-position model. The record is from RNAcentral.
GACGAACUUUGGCGGCGUGCUUAACACAUGCAAGUCGAACGGAAAGGCCCUGCUUUUGUGGGGUGCUCGAGUGGCGAACGGGUGAGUAACACGUGAGUAACCUGCCCUUGACUUUGGGAUAACUUCAGGAAACUGGGGCUAAUACCGGAUAGGAGCUCCUGCUGCAUGGUGGGGGUUGGAAAGUUUCGGCGGUUGGGGAUGGACUCGCGGCUUCUCAGCUUGUUGGUGGGGUAGUGGCUUACCAAGGCUUUGACGGGUAGCCGGCCUGAGAGGGUGACCGGCCACAUUGGGACUGAGAUACGGCCCAGACUCCUACGGGAGGCAGCAGUGGGGAAUAUUGCACAAUGGGCGGAAGCCUGAUGCAGCAACGCCGCGUGCGGGAUGACGGCCUUCGGGUUGUAAACCGCUUUCGCCUGUGACGAAGCGUGAGUGACGGUAAUGGGUAAAGAAGCACCGGCUAACUACGUGCCAGCAGCCGCGGUGAUACGUAGGGUGCGAGCGUUGUCCGGAUUUAUUGGGCGUAAAGGGCUCGUAGGUGGUUGAUCGCGUCGGAAGUGUAAUCUUGGGGCUUAACCCUGAGCGUGCUUUCGAUACGGGUUGACUUGAGGAAGGUAGGGGAGAAUGGAAUUCCUGGUGGAGCGGUGGAAUGCGCAGAUAUCAGGAGGAACACCAGUGGCGAAGGCGGUUCUCUGGGCCUUUCCUGACGCUGAGGAGCGAAAGCGUGGGGAGCGAACAGGCUUAGAUACCCUGGUAGUCCACGCUGUAAACGGUGGGUACUAGGUGUGGGGUCCAUUCCACGGGUUCCGUGCCGUAGCUAACGCUUUAAGUACCCCGCCUGGGGAGUACGGCCGCAAGGCUAAAACUCAAAGGAAUUGACGGGGCCCCGCACAAGCGGCGGAGCAUGCGGAUUAAUUCGAUGCAACGCGUAGAACCUUACCUGGGUUUGACAUGGAUCGGGAGUGCUCAGAGAUGGGUGUGCCUCUUUUGGGGUCGGUUCACAGGUGGUGCAUGCCUGUCGUCAGCUCGUGUCGUGAGAUGUUGGGUUAAGUCCCGCAACGAGCGCAACCCUUGUUCACUGUUGCCAGCACGUUAUGGUGGGGACUCAGUGGAGACCGCCGGGGUCAACUCGGAGGAAGGUGGGGAUGACGUCAAGUCCUCAUGCCCCUUAUGUCCAGGGCUUCACGCAUGCUACAAUGGCUGGUACAGAGAGUGGCGAGCCUGUGAGGGUGAGCGAAUCUCGGAAAGCCGGUCUCAGUUCGGAUUGGGGUCUGCAACUCGACCUCAUGAAGUCGGAGUCGCUAGUAAUCGCAGAUCAGCAACGCUGCGGUGAAUACGUUCCCGGGGCU